CCUACGGGUGGCUGCAGUGGGGAAUAUUGGACAAUGGGGGGAACCCUGAUCCAGCCAUGCCGCGUGUGUGAAGAAGGCCCUCGGGUUGUAAAGCACUUUCAGUGAGGAAGAACGCCUGGUGGUUAAUACCCAUCAGGAAAGACAUCACUCACAGAAGAAGCACCGGCUAACUCCGUGCCAGCAGCCGCGGUAAUACGGAGGGUGCGAGCGUUAAUCGGAAUUACUGGGCGUAAAGCGCGCGUAGGUGGCUUGAUAAGCCGGUUGUGAAAGCCCCGGGCUCAACCUGGGAACGGCAUCCGGAACUGUCAAGCUAGAGUGCAGGAGAGGAAGGUAGAAUUCCCGGUGUAGCGGUGAAAUGCGUAGAGAUCGGGAGGAAUACCAGUGGCGAAGGCGGCCUUCUGGACUGAAACUGACACUGAGGUGCGAAAGCGUGGGUAGCGAACAGGAUUAGAUACCCCAGUAGUC
Molecule: ribosomal RNA, 465 nt
Filed under: Vreelandella stevensii
Lineage: Bacteria; Pseudomonadati; Pseudomonadota; Gammaproteobacteria; Oceanospirillales; Halomonadaceae
Description: partial 16S ribosomal RNA
Rfam family: Bacterial small subunit ribosomal RNA
Source: RNAcentral